GAUGAACGCUGGCGGCGUGCUUAACACAUGCAAGUCGAACGGUGAAAGAGAGCUUGCUCUCUGGAUCAGUGGCGAACGGGUGAGUAACACGUGAGCAAUCUGCCCCUGACUCUGGGAUAAGCGCUGGAAACGGCGUCUAAUACCGGAUACGAGCUGCGAAGGCAUCUUCAGCAGCUGGAAAGAACUUCGGUCAGGGAUGAGCUCGCGGCCUAUCAGCUUGUUGGUGAGGUAAUGGCUCACCAAAGCGUCGACGGGUAGCCGGCCUGAGAGGGUGACCGGCCACACUGGGACUGGGACACUGCCCAGACUCCUACGGGAGGCAGCAGUGGGGAAUAUUGCACAAUGGGCGCAAGCCUGAUGCAGCAACGCCGCGUGAGGGACGACGGCCUUCGGGUUGUAAACCUCUUUUAGCGGGGAAGAAGCGAAAGUGACGGUACCUGCGGAAAAAGCACCGGCUAACUACGUGCCAGCCGCCGCCGUAA
RNAcentral lists this ribosomal RNA (482 nucleotides) under uncultured bacterium. Its description in RNAcentral is "partial 16S ribosomal RNA". It matches the Rfam family "Bacterial small subunit ribosomal RNA", at positions 28 to 523 of the family's 1533-position model. The record is from RNAcentral.